AUCAAAGAGAAUUUCCCUUUAGCUUAGCAAUGUGCUGAAGCUCUUAAAAGAUUGGAUCUGAGAGAGAGAGACAGAGAGGAGAAAGAGAACUAGAGACAGAGAGAGGCAGACAAGGAAGGGGGGGGGGGGUGAAAGACUUUCUUUUUCUUUCUAGAGGAAUUCUGCCCAGACUCUGCAGCAGUUGGUAGCAGGCAAGCUUUCUCCUGGGUGUCGCCUUGAAAAGUUGCAAAAUUGCUCUUCACCUGUAAGAACAUGCUCUUUAUCUUCCAGUCUCUUCUUGUCAAUUUGGAAAUUGCAGACUGCCCGGCUCAGAGUGGAACUAGUAGAUCCAGCUUUGCUACAUUUGGAAAAUCAGCAGGGGGAAUGGUCAUCUCAAAAAGACAAAAAUAAAAGAAGGGACUGAAACUUAACAUAAAUUACCAUGGCUGUCCCUGAACUCAGAACUGGAGAGAACCUUUUUAUUCUUUUACACACAGCUUAUGAUGGAAAUCAAUACGGAUUAUUUCGCAAGCAUUGUUUCGUAAAUAUUUAGUAUAGUUGCCUAACGUAAUUCAGACACUUAAAAAAUACAGCCGCUGAUGUACUAAUUCCAGUCAGGCAUUACAGUUUUUAAAAAGCCAAAAUUAAAAAAAUUAGAACUACUGAACAUCUUCUGAUGAAAACGAUAGUCACAGACUUUGCCCCAAAAUUUAUGCACUAAAUAGUGAGAUGGCUCUGUGCUCUUCCGCAGAUUUCCACGUUUCCGUGUCUGCCCAAUAUAGUCAACUGGUAACUAGAUCAAGUGAAUAAAAUAAAGCUAAAAACAUUAUGGAUUUUUCUAAAAAGUGAACAGGAACGUGCUUCUGUGUGUCCUGAAAUACACAGAUUAGUCCCAUUAUAAUCUCAUACUUAAGAAAAAAAUUCAUUUACUAAGGGAACAUUACUUGUUUACACUGGGCAAAUUGAAAACAAAAAUAAGAAAAGUGGAAAAUAAGAAAUGCAGUCCUUUAGCUUCAUGACGUAACAUGAGCUUUGUGGGAACAAGAGAGCAUUCCUUUAUACUUGUAUGCAAUCUGAGCUCAGUGGCUUUGAAAGCUCUGAAGUCCUCCACAAAACUCUUUCCUCCCUUUUUUCCCUCUUAAAAAAAAAAACACCUCAACUAAUGUAUAUAAUCUCAUCAGCAUUUCUAACAGAAAUUCUCACCUCAAAUUUCUUCCUGUGUGAGAGUAGAACCAGUCUCUGGAGUACUUGGCAAAACACCCGAGCCUCUUGUUUAAUUCAACAAGUGUGAGUUGUGCUUCUCCUGAAAGCAUAUAGCUCUUUAUACACGACAAAAAGAGCCACAGUGGAUGGCAAGCAAUCGUGUUUUAAGAUGAUGCAUCAUCUGUUUGGAUGCUGCCAGUCUUCCCCUGGAUCUGUAGAUGGCUCCUUUCUUAACAAAAUGUAGGCACAGAAUUGCAUUUACUGUCCACAGUGAUGAUGUGAAAGAUUAAAAAAUUGCCCUCCAUCAGAUUGCUAUUAAGAAAAAAAAGACUGUGAGGUCAGAAUUAUUUCUUAAUUGCAUUUCACACCUGGUUAAGAUAGUGUAUACAGCUGCAAGGAGAUGAAAAGAAUGAUUGAUCCUUGAAGAGAAUAGGUAGAGUAGGCAUUGGAAAGCUUGAGAGCAAGGCACACUGGGGUGGAGUGAAAAGCAGAAAUCACUUUUGGUAGAAUUAAUUUCUUGCCAGCAUUUGAAAAAGAGGAAAGUGGCUCUGGAAGCAGCCUUCAUUCUCCAAUGCUGACUGCAAAUCCCCCACCAAAACAGUCUCA
This 1788-nucleotide long non-coding RNA is filed under the name Homo sapiens (human). Its description in RNAcentral is "HSALNT0377221". The record is from RNAcentral. Lineage: Eukaryota; Metazoa; Chordata; Mammalia; Primates; Hominidae.